This 465-nucleotide ribosomal RNA is filed under the name uncultured bacterium. Its description in RNAcentral is "partial 16S ribosomal RNA". It matches the Rfam family "Bacterial small subunit ribosomal RNA", at positions 338 to 795 of the family's 1533-position model. The record is from RNAcentral.
CCUACGGGAGACUGCAGUAGGGAAUCUUCCACAAUGGUCGCAAGCCUGAUGGAGCAACACCGCGUGAGUGAAGAAGGGUUUCGGCUCGUAAAGCUCUGUUUUUGGAGAAGAACGUGCUUGAGAGUAACUGUUCACGCAGUGACGGUAUCCAACCAGAAAGUCACGGCUAACUCCGUCCCAGCAGCCGCGGUAAUACGUAGGUGGCAAGCGUUAUCCGGAUUUAAUGGGCGUAAAGCGAGCGCAGGCGGUCGCUUAGGUCUGAUGUGAAAGCCUUCGGCUUAACCGAAGAAGGGCAUCGGAAACCGGGCGACUUGAGUGCAGAAGAGGAGAGUGGAACUCGAGGUGUAGCGGUGGAAUGCGUAGAUAUAUGGAAGAACACCAGUGGCGAAGGCGGCUGUCCGGUCUGCAACUGACGCUGAGGCUCGAAAGCAUGGGUAGCGAACAGGAUUAGAUACCCUAGUAGUC